RNAcentral lists this long non-coding RNA (2113 nucleotides) under Homo sapiens (human). Its description in RNAcentral is "non-protein coding lnc-SNPH-6:2". Lineage: Eukaryota; Metazoa; Chordata; Mammalia; Primates; Hominidae. The record is from RNAcentral.
GUUGCUGGAACCUCUGUGAAAGCAGAGGAAGCUGGAAAGGAUGUAAUACAGUAGCUGCUGAUGAUCAUCUUGCCACCAUAGGGCUCUUUCAGAUCUUCAAGAAUGUUUAAGCAUACAAAGAAGCCCCGAGACCACAAGGGUGAGAACUACCAUCCUCCCCGCUCUCCGGAUGCUCCCACAGCCUGGGCUCCCCAGUGCAGAGCCAGCACCAAGCAGGAGAUGCAGUACAGUGUGCCCAGGACCAUGGCAGCCAUCACAUAUGCCCUCCACUGGGGAACAAGAAGUGCGUUAGGCUGAUGUACUCCACUCCACCUCCAUACGUGUUUGUGCAGUGACACCAGCCUGGAGGGCCUUCUAUCGCCAUCUCCCUCCUCUGUAAAUCCUACCCACUCUUUGAGUCUUGGCCCAAGGGCUGCUGUCUCUCUCUCUCUCAAAUGAUUUCUGUGUUCUCAUUUGUCUCUGCCUUCUCUGGGAAUCUUUGGUGCCACAGGGUAAUCUCCUGUGUGUCACUCCUGACUUCCUAAUUCAUCUGCCAUCUCCUUCCUUGAAAGCGGAAAUAGUGACUUCUUCUGCUUCCCUACAUUGCCUAAUAACAAUAACAACUACCAUAAUAAUACUUGCUAACAAUUAUUAAACAGUCACCAUUAUAAUAUUAGCUCAUUUACUCCUUGCAACAGCUCUCUAAGGUGGGCUCUAUGAUAUUAGCCUCAUUUUACAGAUGAGAGGACUGAGGCUCAGAAAGGUUAAAGAACUGCCCAAGCCACACAGUUCAGAAAUGGAGGCCAGCAUAUAAGCCAGUUCAACUCUGAUUGGCGACUGCUAGAAAUCAAUGGAGUGAUAUGCACUUAGCACUGUGCCGGGGGGAUAGAAAGUGCUCUACUACCCAGUAAGCAUUUAUUGAGCACCUACUAUGUGUCAGGCACUGCUAGGUGCUGUGGGUUCAGCUGUGAGCCAAGCAAAGUCCCUUCUCUCCUCGUGCUUGUAGGCUGUUCCUGCCUAAGCCUUCCCUCUGCUGUUCCCUCAGCUUGAAAUGUUUUCCCCAGGUUCCCACAUGGCUUGCUCCAUCACCUCCUUUAGGUCUCUGCUCAAAUAUCACCUUAUCAGUGAGGCUUCCUCUGACCUCACCACCUAAAAUCUCAACUUGCUCUGCCCUUCCCUGCAGCACAUCCUGCCCGAUGCCUGCAUGUGCUAUGGGCCUCACUCACUCAUGGGUAAUAUCUGUUUCCCCUGCAGGACGUCAGCUCUGUGAGGGUGGAAGAUGUGUCUGUCUUUUCCCUGCUAUAGCCUCUGGCACAGCAUAGCACCUGGUAUACAGUAGAUGCUCAGAAACCAUGUGCCAAAUGGAUGAAUGAGCAUGGUUGGUGGUGAAAAUUGUUAUGAGGAAGAAUGAAGAGAGUUGGUGAGCAGGAAGUUGCUGUUGCCAUCAAGGGAGCCAUUGUCCCAUGAGCCAUUGAACUCCACGGAGCCCUAGUUUAUGCUGCUGUGGAAGUGGCUCCCCAGCUUUCCCUAGAUGUGGGCUCCUACUAGCAUGCUGACAGCUUCCAUACCUAUGCCUGCGGAGGCGACUUAGGAGACCAGCGGACUUACUUCCUGGUCCCAGGAUGAAGUAAAGAAGCCAGCAGAUGGUGCCAAAGGCAACCUCUAUUUACCCUUGCUGCUCAUUAGCAUAAGACACUCCCACCAGUGCCGUGACAGUUUACAAAUGCCAUGGCAACGAGCUGCAAGUUACCACCCCUUUCCAUGGCAACAACUCGGCAUUUGUUCUUUUCUAGAGCAUUCUGAAUAACAAACCUCUUAAUUUGCAUGUAAUUAAAAACUUUUGGGUCUGGUAAAGAUCUUAAAUGUUUUUAGCACACACACACACACAAAUGUAAGUGGGUGAGGUGACAGAUGUGUUAACUAACACGAUUGUGGCACUCAUUUCACAAUGUAUAUGUAUAUCAAAUCAGCAUGUUGCACACCAUAAAUUUACACAAUUUUGUCAAUCAUACCUCAAGAAAGCUGGGAAAACAGAAUCAUACCACAAAUUCACUGUUUUAGAACAUGCAAUUAAGCAGUUUUAGUAUAUUUACAGAACUGUGCAACCAUUAUCACUACUAAUUCUAGCAUAUUU